UGAGUACGAGCUGCUACGGCAGCGAAGUGGGUGAUGUCAUGCUUCCAAGAAAAGCCCUAUACCCGUUAAGGCAUGAUGGCCUGUACCCGAAACCGACACAGGUGGGGUGGUAGAGAAUACCGAGGGGCGCGAGGUAACUCUCUCUAAGGAACUCGGCAAAAUGGCCCCGUAACUUCGGGAGAAGGGGUGCCACCGCAAGGUGGUCGCAGUGAAGAGGCCCAGGCGACUGUUUACCAAAAACACAGGUCUCCGCUAAGUCGCAAGACGAUGUAUGGGGGCUGACGCCUGCCCAGUGCCGGAAGGUUAAGGAAGCUGGUCAGCGUAAGCGAAGCUAGCGACUGAAGCCCCGGUGAACGGCGGCCGUAACAAUAACGGUCCUAAGGUAGCGAAAUUCCUUGUCGGGUAAGUUCCGACCCGCACGAAAGGCGUAACGAUCUGGGCGCUGUCUCGGAGAGAGGCUCGGCGAAAUAGAAUUGUCUGUGAAGAUGCGGACUACGUGCACCCGGACAGAAAGACCCUAUGAAGCUUUACUGUAGCUUGGUAUUGUGCUCGGGCUCGGGAUGCGCAGGAUAGGUGGGAGGCUAUGAACCAUUGCUUGUGGGUGAUGGUGAGCCACUGGUGAGAUACCACUCUUUCCGAGCUAGAGUUCUAACAGCCACCCGUUAUCCGGGGGCUGGACAGUAUCAGGUGGGCAGUUUGACUGGGGCGGUCGCCUCCUAAAAGGUAACGGAGGCGCGCAAAGGUUUGCUCAGGCUGGUUGGAAAUCAGCCGACGAGUGUAAAAGCAGAAGCAAGCUUGACUGUGAGACCUACAAGUCGAACAGGGAGGAAACUCGGCUUUAGUGAUCCGACGGUUCUGCGUGGAAGGGCCGUCGCUCAACGGAUAAAAGUUACUCUAGGAUAACAGGCUGAUCUCCCCCAAGAGUUCACAUCGACGGGGAGGUUUGGCACCUCGAUGUCGGCUCAUCGCAACCUGGGGCUGAAGUCGGUCCCAAGGGUUGGGCUGUUCGCCCAUUAAAGCGGUACGCGAGCUGGGUUCAGAACGUCGUGAGACAGUUCGGUCCAUAUCCGGUGCAUGCGCAGGAAUAUUGAGAGGAUUUCUCCCUAGUACGAGAGGACCGGGAGGAACGCACCUCUGGUGUACCAGUUAUCGUGCCAACGGUAAACGCUGGGUAGCCAUGUGCGGAGAGGAUAACCGCUGAAAGCAUCUAAGUGGGAAGCCCACCUCAAGAUGAGUAUUCCCAUGGGGUAACCCAGUAAGGUCACGGGAAGAACACCCGUUGAUAGGCUCUACGUGGAAGCGCAGUAAUGUGUGAAGCGGAGGAGUACUAAUAGACCGAGGGCUUGACU
This 1349-nucleotide ribosomal RNA is filed under the name metagenome. RNAcentral's name for it is "bacterial LSU rRNA". It matches the Rfam family "Bacterial large subunit ribosomal RNA", at positions 1564 to 2925 of the family's 2925-position model. The record is from RNAcentral.